AAGUUGUAACAAGGUUUCCGUAGGUGAACCUGCGGAAGGAUCAUUAACAAAUCCAUAUUUUAUGCCGCAAGGCGUAGAUAUAAAUUCGCUUGGCUGGCGCAAGCUGCCAAGUUGAAAGAUUGUGUAUAUAUUCUUCUUCUUCUUUGAUGAUGAUAUAUAUAUAUAAAUGUAUGUGUAGUGUAGACAAGUGUGUGUAAAAACAAAAAAUAAUUGACAACUUUUAACAAUGGAUCUCUAGGCUCUU
This 244-nucleotide unclassified non-coding RNA is filed under the name fungal sp. RNAcentral's name for it is "partial internal transcribed spacer region". The stretch from base 1 to 46 matches the Rfam family "Eukaryotic small subunit ribosomal RNA", at positions 1786 to 1831 of the family's 1831-position model. RNAcentral also lists the same sequence under 2 other names. Lineage: Eukaryota; Fungi. The record is from RNAcentral.